CCUACGGGAUGCAGCAGUGAGGAAUAUUGGUCAAUGGCCGUAAGCCUGAACCAGCCAAGUCGCGUGAAUGAAGAAGGCCCUAUGGUUUGUACACUUCUUUUAUCGGGGCAUAAAAGUCUCCACGUGUGGAUUUUUGAAUGUACCCGAUGAAUGAGCAUCGGCUAACUCCGUUCCAGCAGCCGCGGUAAUACGGAGGAUGCGAGCGUUAUCCGGAUUUAUUUGGUUUACAGGGUGCGUAGGUUGUUUUUUAAGUCAGCCGUGAAAGGUUGUGGCUCAACCAUAAAAUUGCCGUUGAAACUGGAAGACUGGAGUGUGUUUGAGGUAGGCGGAAUGCGUGGUGUAGCGGUGAAAUGCAUAGAUAUCACGCAGAACUCCGAUUGCGAAGGCAGCUUACUAAGCCAUAACUGACACUGCGGCACGAAAGCGUGGGGAUCAAACAGGAUUAGAUACCCGAGUAGUC
Molecule: ribosomal RNA, 460 nt
Filed under: uncultured bacterium
Lineage: Bacteria
Description: partial 16S ribosomal RNA
Rfam family: Bacterial small subunit ribosomal RNA
Source: RNAcentral